UCUUCAGUAGUAUAGUGGUUAGUAUUCCCGCCUGUCAGUUACCUCUGCGCGCGGGCGACCGGGGUUCAAUUCCCCGCUGGAGAG
Non-coding RNA from Tuber magnatum (white Piedmont truffle), 84 nucleotides. Lineage: Eukaryota; Fungi; Ascomycota; Pezizomycetes; Pezizales; Tuberaceae. The record is from the annotation of a GenBank genome assembly.